AGAGGGAAAAUAAUUCUUCAAAAAAGAAAAGUCAGUCUUCUCCUCUCCAGUCCGUGGAAAAUCCAACGGGGACGUUGACAAGAGGGUAUUUUUAGGAAACACAUCCAAAUAUACAGGGUAAGAGUGAAUGUGAGAAAAAAAAAAGUUGUGGGUUGUAGAAGUUAUCAAGUGGGAUUUGCGGCGCUCUCUGCAGGAAACGCGAGCGGCUCCAGUUCAAAGCCACAUGCACCAACGUGACAUAUAAGCCAUUAAAAUAUCAUCCUGACGGCUCAUUUCUGCUUCAUCAUACAUUCCCUAACUGCUUCCUGAAAGCUGGAAAAGGAGAAGUGAAGGAUGACCGCCUCGCUGGAACCACAAAAGAGAGGCUUGGAGGGGUUUGUGGUCCCCUCUCAGCCACCCCGAAAUGAUGUGCAGAAAUGAGGCGAUCCUGGCAACAGGUGGAGUGGGGGUCAAAGCGCCAAGUUAGCAAGACGAUGGAACUUCUCCGCCCCAACCUGACGGCAGAUGCCGCCUGAGUCCACCUCAGGGCGGCUCCUUGCCCUCCCUCACCCUGGUCCUGCCUCAGGAAGCUGACUGCUGGGAUCUGCUCUCUGCGCGCGGCCAGCAGUGGGUUCGGGACUUGGCUUUCUUUAUCUCCAAUGCGAACAAGAGCAGCAACUAGCUCUCUGGGGAGCAGGCCGCAGCUCCUAGGAUUCUGGCCCCUAGCCUAGACCCAGGGGCAUUGGAAAUUAGGGGCCAAUGAGGAGGGAAUAGAGCUGAGCUGUGAAAGAAAGCUAGGACUGGCUCAAAGGUUGGAUCUGAAAGUUGGGGUUGAUGAAUGGCCCAUGUCAAAG
Molecule: small RNA, 833 nt
Filed under: Pan troglodytes (chimpanzee)
Lineage: Eukaryota; Metazoa; Chordata; Mammalia; Primates; Hominidae
Description: processed transcript
Source: RNAcentral